UUCUGUUUUGAUCCUCUGCAGUUAGUGUGUGGUUCUGGCCCACUCUCAAUACAUAGGCAGACUUAACACCUGGCCUUUUCUUUCCCCUCCCAUUGCUGAGGAGAAGAGAGGAUGGACUUGACUCCAAUACUCAGAUCUUCCACCAACCUCAACAAGAAGCUGAACAUCAGAGAAGGCAGCUUUAGGACUGAACAUCACAGAAAGAGUGCCUGUUCUCUUCCCAAAGAAGGAGCGUGGAGCUGGGAUACAACGGUGACGCUCUCCUGCACUUCAUGCUGGCCAGUCUAUGUGGAGGUAUCGGUUUCAAUGCUUCAGGGAAAGACUCCCAGCUGCUUGAGAGACCACUAUGUGAUGACAAGGGAGGAAUGGAGGAAUAACUUCAGAGCAACAAGUGACUGAGGCCUGCGCGUAACCUUCUGCUGUCUGGGGAAUGGGCCACUACAGCGUGCCAUAAGAUUUUUUUUAAUGCUACCCAGGGACACUAAAAGAAUUUGUUUCAUGAAGUAAAUUGUUUGAAUGAGACUUUCUUUUCAUCUCAGAAAGUGAAUCUCUGUAUAAUCCCUAUUUUAGGCUCUUUCCCAGACUACAGGAAAUGCUGCCUGCCUUGGGAUUCCUGUGUGCCCAACUCAUGGGACAACAUGAAGCCUGCCCAUCCCAUGCAGACAGCAGAACAGCCCCUCACAUACAGGGAAGGUCCUGAUGUCCGUCAGACUGCGCACAGGUGCUGGACGGCUGUAUCCUGAGCUCUUCUAAUCUGGCUUUCCUGCAUGAGCUACAGCAUGCCACAGAAAGAAAGCGACUGUGACAAUUUUCUUAAUUAGUGGGGGCCAACCUUUCUGGCAGGCGUGCCAUGAAUUAACCCUAUACCCUUCCCCAAUGCUGCUCUGAUUGGCUGCUUUCUGCUCUCUGCCUGAUCUGCUGCUCUGUUUUUGGCUCCCUCCUCAAUUUGCCACAUGCGGCACACAGAGGCUGCCUGUACUACCUGUGGCAUACAUGCAGUGGGUUGGCCAUCCCAAUCUACAGGAUUCUUGGAAGGCAUUGCCUUUUCACUACCAGUGAAAGCCAGUGAUCUGCACUUGUAAUGUUGUAACAUUGAUUGUCAGCUACUCUGUCUAAGGCACAUAUAGCACCAGGUCACUAUUAGCAGUUAACAAAAUAAAUCCAAAUG
This is a long non-coding RNA of Alligator sinensis (Chinese alligator), 1168 nucleotides long. RefSeq lists it as uncharacterized. The transcript has 3 exons. Lineage: Eukaryota; Metazoa; Chordata; Crocodylia; Alligatoridae. The record is from RefSeq and is a predicted model, not a curated record.